GGCGUAGGCGAUGGAUAACAGGUUGAUAUUCCUGUACCACCUAUAAUCGUUUUAAUCGAUGGGGGGACGCAGUAGGAUAGGCGAAGCGUGCGAUUGGAUUGCACGUCUAAGCAGUAAGGCUGAGUAUUAGGCAAAUCCGGUACUCGUUAAGGCUGAGCUGUGAUGGGGAGAAGACAUUGUGUCUUCGAGUCGUUGAUUUCACACUGCCGAGAAAAGCCUCUAGAUAGAAAAUAGGUGCCCGUACCGCAAACCGACACAGGUAGUCAAGAUGAGAAUUCUAAGGUGAGCGAGCGAACUCUCGUUAAGGAACUCGGCAAAAUGACCCCGUAACUUCGGGAGAAGGGGUGCUCUUUAGGGUUAACGCCCAGAAGAGCCGCAGUGAAUAGGCCCAAGCGACUGUUUAUCAAAAACACAGGUCUCUGCUAAACCGUAAGGUGAUGUAUAGGGGCUGACGCCUGCCCGGUGCUGGAAGGUUAAGAGGAGUGGUUAGCUUCUGCGAAGCUACGAAUCGAAGCCCCAGUAAACGGCGGCCGUAACUAUAACGGUCCUAAGGUAGCGAAAUUCCUUGUCGGGUAAGUUCCGACCCGCACGAAAGGCGUAACGAUUUGGGCACUGUCUCAACGAGAGACUCGGUGAAAUCAUAGUACCUGUGAAGAUGCAGGUUACCCGCGACAGGACGGAAAGACCCCGUGGAGCUUUACUGUAGCCUGAUAUUGAAAUUCGGCACAGCUUGUACAGGAUAGGUAGGAGCCUUUGAAACGUGAGCGCUAGCUUACGUGGAGGCGCUGGUGGGAUACUACCCUAGCUGUGUUGGCUUUCUAACCCGCACCACUUAUCGUGGUGGGAGACAGUGUCAGGCGGGCAGUUUGACUGGGGCGGUCGCCUCCUAAAAGGUAACGGAGGCGCUCAAAGGUUCCCUCAGAAUGGUUGGAAAUCAUUCAUAGAGUGUAAAGGCAUAAGGGAGCUUGACUGCGAGACCUACAAGUCGAGCAGGGUCGAAAGACGGACUUAGUGAUCCGGUGGUUCCGCAUGGAAGGGCCAUCGCUCAACGGAUAAAAGCUACCCCGGGGAUAACAGGCUUAUCUCCCCCAAGAGUUCACAUCGACGGGGAGGUUUGGCACCUCGAUGUCGGCUCAUCGCAUCCUGGGGCUGUAGUCGGUCCCAAGGGUUGGGCUGUUCGCCCAUUAAAGCGGUACGCGAGCUGGGUUCAGAACGUCGUGAGACAGUUCGGUCCCUAUCCGUCGUGGGCGUAGGAAAUUUGAGAGGAGCUGUCCUUAGUACGAGAGGACCGGGAUGGACAUACCUCUGGUGUACCAGUUGUCGUGCCAACGGCAUAGCUGGGUAGCUAUGUGUGGACGGGAUAAGUGCUGAAAGCAUCUAAGCAUGAAGCCCCCCUCAAGAUGAGAUUUCCCAACUUCGGUUAUAAGAUCCCUCAAAGAUGAUGAGGUUAAUAGGUUCGAGGUGGAAGCAUGGUGACAUGUGGAGCUGACGAAUACUAAUCGAUCGAAGACUUAAUCAA
RNAcentral lists this ribosomal RNA (1519 nucleotides) under Staphylococcus aureus. RNAcentral describes it as "partial 23S ribosomal RNA". It matches the Rfam family "Bacterial large subunit ribosomal RNA", at positions 1408 to 2925 of the family's 2925-position model. The record is from RNAcentral. Lineage: Bacteria; Bacillati; Bacillota; Bacilli; Caryophanales; Staphylococcaceae.